Molecule: ribosomal RNA, 2901 nt
Filed under: Clostridioides difficile
Lineage: Bacteria; Bacillati; Bacillota; Clostridia; Peptostreptococcales; Peptostreptococcaceae
Description: 23S ribosomal RNA
Rfam family: Bacterial large subunit ribosomal RNA
Source: RNAcentral
UGGUCAAGUUAUUAAGGGUGCAGGGCGGAUGCCUUGGCACUAGGAGCCGAUGAAGGACGUGAUAAGCUGCGAUAAGCUUCGGGGAGUUGCACGUAAACUUUGAUCCGAAGAUUUCCGAAUGAGGAAACUCACUUAGAGUAAUGUCUAAGUAUCAUUAAGUGAAUACAUAGCUUAAUGAGGGGAACUCAGGGAACUGAAACAUCUAAGUACCUGAAGGAAGAGAAAGAAAUUCGAUUCCGUAAGUAGCGGCGAGCGAACGCGGAUUAGCCCAAACCAAUAAAGUUUUCUUUAUUGGGGUUGAGGACAUACCACAUAUAAGAGGUCAUUAUAGACGAAGAAGUUUGGAAAAACUCAUCAUAGAAGGUAAUAAUCCUGUAGUCAAAAUAAUAAUUCUUUAGGUAUGAUCCAGAGUACCACGGGACACGUGAAACCCUGUGGGAAGCAGGAGGGACCACCCUCCAAGGCUAAAUACUACCUAGUGACCGAUAGCGUAUAGUACCGUGAGGGAAAGGUGAAAAGAACCCCGGGAGGGGAGUGAAAUAGAACCUGAAACCCUGCACUUACAAGCUGUGGAAGCACAUUUCUUGUGUGACCACGUACUUUUUGUAGAACGGGCCAACGAGUUACGUUAAGUAGCAAGGUUAAGCACUUAAGGUGCGGAGCCGUAGCGAAAGCGAGUUUUAACUGAGCGUUCAGUUACUUGACGUAGACCCGAAACCGGGCGACCUACCCAUGAGCAGGAUGAAGCGAAAGUAAAAUUUCGUGGAGGUCCGAACCCACGAGCGUUGAAAAGCUCGGGGAUGACUUGUGGGUAGCGGUGAAAUUCCAAUCGAGCCCGGAGAUAGCUGGUUCUCCCCGAAAUAGCUUUAGGGCUAGCCUCAAGGUGAGAGAUACGGAGGUAGAGCACUGAAUGUCCUAGGGGGUAUUGCACCUACCGAAGACUAUCAAACUCCGAAUGCCGUCAUCUUAUACUUGGGAGUCAGACUGUGGGUGAUAAGAUUCAUAGUCGAAAGGGCAACAGCCCAGAUCGUCAGCUAAGGUCCCUAAAUGUAAGUUAAGUGGUAAAGGAUGUGGGAUUGCACAGACAACCAGGAUGUUGGCUUAGAAGCAGCCACUCAUUCAAAGAGUGCGUAAUAGCUCACUGGUCGAGUGAUCCUGCGCCGAAGAUUUCCGGGGCUAAAACUUACUACCGAAGCUACGGCAUCAGUAAUGAUGGGUAGGGGAGCUUCCCAUACGGGUUGAAGCAUGACCGUAAGGACAUGUGGACAGUAUGGGAGUGAGAAUGUUGGCAUGAGUAGCGAGAUGUGGGUGAGAAUCCCACAGGCCGUAAACCCAAGGUUUCCAGGGGAAGGUUCGUCCGCCCUGGGUUAGUCGGGACCUAAGCUGAGGCCGAAAGGCGUAGGUGAUGGACAACAGGUUGAUAUUCCUGUACUACCGAUAACCGUUUGAGAGAAGGGAUGACACAGUAGGAUAAGCUAAGCACACUGUUGGUUAUGUGUGCCCAAGCAUUGAGGCAGUCAAAGUAGGCAAAUCCGCUUUGAUAAUGCUGGGAUGUGAUGGGGAGCGAAAUUUAGUAGCGAAGUAGCUGAUUUCACACUGUCAAGAAAAGUCUCUAUCGAGGUUAAAGGUACCCGUACCGCAAACCGACACAGGUGGGUGAGGAGAGUAUCCUAAGGCCAGCGAGAGAACUGUUGUUAAGGAACUCGGCAAAAUGACCCCGUAACUUAGGGAUAAGGGGUGCCACCAUCAGGUGGCCGCAGAGAAUAGGCCCAAGCGACUGUUUACCAAAAACAUAGGUUUCUGCUAAGUCGCAAGACGAUGUAUAGGAGCUGACGCCUGCCCGGUGCUGGAAGGUUAAGGGGAUCUGUUAGAGCAAUCGAAGCAGUGAACUUAAGCCCCAGUAAACGGCGGCCGUAACUAUAACGGUCCUAAGGUAGCGAAAUUCCUUGUCGGGUAAGUUCCGACCCGCACGAAAGGCGUAACGAUUUGGGCACUGUCUCAACAACAGACUCGGUGAAAUUGUAAUUCCGGUGAAGAUGCCGGAUACCUGCGACAGGACGGAAAGACCCCAUGGAGCUUUACUGUAGCUUGACAUUGGGUCUUGGUACUACAUGUACAGGAUAGGUGGGAGGCUUUGAAACCAGGACGCCAGUUUUGGCGGAGCCAUCCUUGGGAUACCACCCUUGUAGUACUGGGACUCUAACCAUAGGCCAUGAAUCUGGUCUUGGGACACUGUCAGGUGGGCAGUUUGACUGGGGCGGUCGCCUCCCAAAAGGUAACGGAGGCGCUCAAAGGUUCUCUCAGUACGGUCGGAAAUCGUACGUAGAGUGUAAAGGCAAAAGAGAGCUUGAUUGCAAGACAUACAGGUCGAGCAAGGAUGAAAAUCGGACUUAGUGAUCCGGUGGUUCUGCGUGGAAGGGCCAUCGCUCAACGGAUAAAAGCUACCCUGGGGAUAACAGGCUUAUCUCCCCCAAGAGUCCACAUCGACGGGGAGGUUUGGCACCUCGAUGUCGGCUCAUCACAUCCUGGGGCUGUAGUAGGUCCCAAGGGUUGGGCUGUUCGCCCAUUAAAGUGGUACGCGAGCUGGGUUCAGAACGUCGUGAGACAGUUCGGUCCCUAUCCGUCGCAGGCGUAGGAAAUUUGAGAAGACCUGUCCUUAGUACGAGAGGACCGGGAUGGACGUACCUCUGGUGUACCAGUUGUCCUGCCAAGGGCAUGGCUGGGUAGCUAUGUACGGAAUGGAUAAGCGCUGAAAGCAUCUAAGCGCGAAGCCAACUUCAAGAUAAGAUUUCCCACCGCAAGGGUAAGACCCCAGAAAGACUAUCUGGUUGAUAGGUCGAAGGUGUAAGUGCAGCAAUGUAUUUAGCUUAUCGAUACUAAUAGGUCGAGGACUUGACCAAU